RNAcentral lists this ribosomal RNA (1206 nucleotides) under Staphylococcus aureus. RNAcentral's name for it is "partial 23S ribosomal RNA". It matches the Rfam family "Bacterial large subunit ribosomal RNA", at positions 325 to 1537 of the family's 2925-position model. The record is from RNAcentral. Lineage: Bacteria; Bacillati; Bacillota; Bacilli; Caryophanales; Staphylococcaceae.
GACAUUAGACGAAUCAUCUGGAAAGAUGAAUCAAAGAAGGUAAUAAUCCUGUAGUCGAAAAUGUUGUCUCUCUUGAGUGGAUCCUGAGUACGACGGAGCACGUGAAAUUCCGUCGGAAUCUGGGAGGACCAUCUCCUAAGGCUAAAUACUCUCUAGUGACCGAUAGUGAACCAGUACCGUGAGGGAAAGGUGAAAAGCACCCCGGAAGGGGAGUGAAAUAGAACCUGAAACCGUGUGCUUACAAGUAGUCAGAGCCCGUUAAUGGGUGAUGGCGUGCCUUUUGUAGAAUGAACCGGCGAGUUACGAUUUGAUGCAAGGUUAAGCAGUAAAUGUGGAGCCGUAGCGAAAGCGAGUCUGAAUAGGGCGUUUAGUAUUUGGUCGUAGACCCGAAACCAGGUGAUCUACCCUUGGUCAGGUUGAAGUUCAGGUAACACUGAAUGGAGGACCGAACCGACUUACGUUGAAAAGUGAGCGGAUGAACUGAGGGUAGCGGAGAAAUUCCAAUCGAACCUGGAGAUAGCUGGUUCUCUCCGAAAUAGCUUUAGGGCUAGCCUCAAGUGAUGAUUAUUGGAGGUAGAGCACUGUUUGGACGAGGGGCCCCUCUCGGGUUACCGAAUUCAGACAAACUCCGAAUGCCAAUUAAUUUAACUUGGGAGUCAGAACAUGGGUGAUAAGGUCCGUGUUCGAAAGGGAAACAGCCCAGACCACCAGCUAAGGUCCCAAAAUAUAUGUUAAGUGGAAAAGGAUGUGGCGUUGCCCAGACAACUAGGAUGUUGGCUUAGAAGCAGCCAUCAUUUAAAGAGUGCGUAAUAGCUCACUAGUCGAGUGACACUGCGCCGAAAAUGUACCGGGGCUAAACAUAUUACCGAAGCUGUGGAUUGUCCUUUGGACAAUGGUAGGAGAGCGUUCUAAGGGCGUUGAAGCAUGAUCGUAAGGACAUGUGGAGCGCUUAGAAGUGAGAAUGCCGGUGUGAGUAGCGAAAGACGGGUGAGAAUCCCGUCCACCGAUUGACUAAGGUUUCCAGAGGAAGGCUCGUCCGCUCUGGGUUAGUCGGGUCCUAAGCUGAGGCCGACAGGCGUAGGCGAUGGAUAACAGGUUGAUAUUCCUGUACCACCUAUAAUCGUUUUAAUCGAUGGGGGGACGCAGUAGGAUAGGCGAAGCGUGCGAUUGGAUUGCACGUCUAAGCAGUAAGGCUGAGUAUUAGGC